UCCAAGUUCCAAACUUUCCUUGCUGCCCGCCUCCCCCAGCCUCCUCGCGCGGCGCCGGCCUCCGUCGUCCCACCCGCCACCUGUCGGCUGCCACGACCCAGCGGCGGCCUCCCGCGAGUCGUCCCCAGCCAGCCGCCAGGUCCGAGUUCCGCCCGCCUCCCAGCCACGCAGGACGCAGCUGCCAGCCUGCCGCCAUCGUUCCAGCAACCGCGCCGCCUCCGAGCUCCCAGCAGACGUCGCCAGCCGUCCCCACUCCCCAGGUAUGAUUCUUCUUCUUCUUCUUCUGAAUCUUCUUCUUCUUCUUCUGAAUCUUCUUCUUCUUCUUCCUUUUUUUUUAAAUGACUCAAUGUGUUAUGAAUUCAGUUGGCUUUAGAUUUCAGUUGAGUUCAGAAUGUUUGAUUCAGUUGAGUUUGAAUGUUUGAUUCAGUUUAGUUUUAUUCUUCUUGUUUUUUAUUUAUUUUCGAGUUUGAAUGUUUGAUUCAGCCGUCCCCACUCCUACAGCGGCUGUUGUGCUUCUUUGGAUCGAUAUCUCUAAUCUCCCUGCAUUUGUGCAUUUCUUGUUUGUGGUUUUGAGAUCUGUGAUCUUGAUUCUUAUUUUUUUGCUGUCCCAUUUGGCUGGUUCAGUGAUCUAUGAUGUGAAAAUAUAUAGCUCCAAGAUAUAAUUAUUUAGGGAUCUCGAGGGGUAGGGUGAUUGCUAUUUUAACGUUGAUAUAAUUGAAAGUAGCAAGUGUGAGAGUUGAGAGUAAAUUAGAAUUGACUUGAAUCUUAUAUUAAAAGUGCUUUAAUGAUGAAUGAGUUGCGAAAGCGUCAAACAUUAUGGAUUGGAUGGCUUCAUCAAUGAUCUAACAGUUAUAAGAAAUGAGACGAGCUGCUCUUGAUUGAUAUCAAGAUUCCAUCUUUCAUUUCUACACAACUGGUUCUCUGAAUGUUUAAAUGACUCAAGUGUUAUGAUUUCAGUUGGCUUGAUUGAUUGUUUCUAAAUUAGUUUGAGUUAUUAUGACAAUUUUCUUUAUGAAUUCAGUUUCUAAAUGACUAAAUGAGUGUGUUUACUUAUUUUGUAGUUUGCUACAUUGUUAUGGCAUCUUCUCGCAAUAGUAAUCGUGUUGAGGAAGACGCUAUUGAUAUGAAUGAUGAUAUGGAUGAUGAUGGGUUAGAGGAUAUUCCUAUCGGCGAAGACGGGGAAGCAACAAUAGAAACCGGAUCUCAAAGUGGUGUAUCAAAGAAAAGGAAAAAAGGAAGUGCACGCUCAGAUCAUUGGAAAGGUUUCACACUUAUGUGGGUUGAAGAAGGUGAUCCUCCGGAGAAGACGCGCAAGGGGAAGUGCAAGACAUGUGGAGCUGUAAUUUGCGCCGAUUCAUACCGUAAUGGGACGAAUGGCCUCAAGAACCACACUACUUCGUGCUCAAAAAAGCAUAAAAAUACAACGGAAGGUCAAACUGUAUUGUAUUUCACACCUGCCAGCACGGAUGGAACUAGCUCAUUGUCAGCUUGGAAGUUUGAUCAGAAGUUUGUUCGACUCACUUUGGCUGAGAUGAUUAUCCUUGAUGAGCUCUCAUUCACACAUGUGGAAAAGGAGGGCUUCCAAAAAUUUGUUGCUGCUGCUUGCCCAAUGUUCCAAAUUCCUACAAGGCAAACGAUCAGAGCUGACUGUGUGAAGAUCUUCUUGGAGCGGAAAGAUAGGUUGAAGACUUUCUUCACCAAGAAGGGCAUGGGUAGGGUCUCAUUGACCACAGAUAGCUGGACUUCAAUAAACAACACCAAUUUUAUGUGUGUUACUGCACACUUCAUUGGUAAGGAUUGAAGAUUACAUAAGAAGAUCAUUACAUUUGUCAAGAUCGUUAGUCACAAAGCCAUUGAUAUUGGUGAGGCUAUUGUGAUGUCGAUGAAGGAUUGGGGCUUGCAGAGAUUGCUUUGUUGCACGCUAGACAAUGCAACAGCAAACGAUGGGGCAGUAAGAUAUGUGAACUAUUAUCUUGAUGAGGUGCAGUCUAGAGUUCUCGAUGGAGGUUACCUCCAUAUGCGUUGCGCAGCCCAUAUCUUGAACUUGGUGCAAAUGAGCUCACCAUCUACCUCACUGAGAAGCAACACAAAAUGGGUAAGAAUGACGUCGACCAGUUUGAUAUUUUGAUGUGGUGGUCGACCAAUACUCCACGGUAUCCUGUGCUUGCUGAGAUGGCCAGAGAUAUCUUAGCUGUCCCCAUAUCUAGUGUUGCUUCAGAGUGUGCAUUUAGUAUGGGAGGACGUGUUCUAUCACCGUAUAGAAGUUCUUUGGCGCCGAAAAUGGUUGAGGCCUUGAUUUGUGCUGAGGAUUGGUUAAGAUCUACCAGCUUUGAUAAAAAAGAUGAAGAAGGCGUUUCAGAAGAAAAGCAACAGCAGGAGUUUGAAUCGGGUAAUUACAUAUUCUAGUUAUUCCACUUCUACAUAUUAUUAUUUAUUACAUUACUUUGUUUGGUUUAUUUUUACUUCAAUUUCAAUUUCUUAAUUCUUACAGUGCUCCAUAGCUAUACUCAUGGUGAUUCGAGGCCGACACAGAGUCAGACGGAGCAAAGUGGAACUCGUGCAUCGUAGUCGUAGGCUCGUAGCUAUGGACAUCAUUUUGUGAUCUAGUUGUGUACUAGACUUUGUCUUUGACAUUUGUUUGAGACUUUGUGUACUAGACUUUGACUUUGUGUAUUAGACUUGGGUACUAGACGUUCGUUCCAUUUAAAAUUUUAGACUUCGGAGUUGAGAUUUGUGGUUGUUGAUUUUGGAUUUGAUGUUAUAUAUUAUUUGUUAAAACAGGG
This 2783-nucleotide long non-coding RNA is filed under the name Salvia miltiorrhiza (redroot sage). RNAcentral's name for it is "long non-coding RNA (SMIL_LNC005224)". Lineage: Eukaryota; Viridiplantae; Streptophyta; Magnoliopsida; Lamiales; Lamiaceae. The record is from RNAcentral.